GGUUCCAUGGUGGUAACGGUUUAGCACUCUGGACUCUGAAUCCAGCGAAUCCGAGUUCGAAUCUCGGUGGAACCU
RNAcentral lists this transfer RNA (75 nucleotides) under Schistocerca americana (American grasshopper). RNAcentral's name for it is "tRNA-Gln". It matches the Rfam family "tRNA". Rfam says of the family: Transfer RNA (tRNA) molecules are approximately 80 nucleotides in length. Their secondary structure includes four short double-helical elements and three loops (D, anti-codon, and T loops). Further hydrogen bonds mediate the characteristic L-shaped molecular structure. tRNAs have two regions of fundamental functional importance: the anti-codon, which is responsible for specific mRNA codon recognition, and the 3' end, to which the tRNAs corresponding amino acid is attached (by aminoacyl-tRNA synthetases). tRNAs cope with the degeneracy of the genetic code in two manners: having more than one tRNA (with a specific anti-codon) for a particular amino acid; and 'wobble' base-pairing, i.e. permitting non-standard base-pairing at the 3rd anti-codon position. The record is from RNAcentral. Lineage: Eukaryota; Metazoa; Arthropoda; Insecta; Orthoptera; Acrididae.